RNAcentral lists this small RNA (127 nucleotides) under Marmota monax (woodchuck). Lineage: Eukaryota; Metazoa; Chordata; Mammalia; Rodentia; Sciuridae. The record is from RNAcentral.
GCUGGGCACAGUGGCGCAUGCCUGUAAUCCCAGCCAUUUGGGAAGCUGAGGCAGGAGGAUUGCGAGUUCAAAGCCAGCUUUAGAAAAUUAGCGAGGCACUUAGCAACUCAACAAGACCCUGUCUCUA